UAAGACGGAGGGUGCUAGCGUUGUUCGGAAUCAUUGGGCGUAAAGGGCGUGUAGGCGGAUCGUUAAGUCAUGCGUGAAAGCCCUCGGCUUAACCGAGGAAGGGCGUAUGAUACUGGCGACCUAGAGUUCGGAAGAGGGGGGUGGAAUUCCAGGUGUAGCGGUGAAAUGCGUAGAUAUCUGGAGGAACACCGGUGGCGAAGGCGACCCCCUGGUCCGACACUGACGCUGAGACGCGAAAGCGUGGGUAGCAAACAGGAUUAGAUACCCUGGUAGUCCACGCCGUAAACGAUGGGCACUAGGUGUCUGGGGUAUUGACCCCCUGGGUGCCGCAGCUAACGCAUUAAGUGCCCCGCCUGGGGAGUACGAUCGCAAGGUUA
Molecule: ribosomal RNA, 377 nt
Filed under: uncultured delta proteobacterium
Lineage: Bacteria; Deltaproteobacteria
Description: bacterial SSU rRNA
Rfam family: Bacterial small subunit ribosomal RNA
Source: RNAcentral